This 229-nucleotide long non-coding RNA is filed under the name Lathyrus oleraceus (garden pea). Its description in RNAcentral is "Pisum sativum (pea) long non-coding RNA (PSAT_LNC013655)". The record is from RNAcentral. Lineage: Eukaryota; Viridiplantae; Streptophyta; Magnoliopsida; Fabales; Fabaceae.
UAGAUAUUAUUAUUUAUAUUUAAAUUUUAAAUUUAAAUUAUUAUUUGAAAUAUUAAAUUUUAUAAAAGGUUUAUAAAAAAGAUACAAUAUUUAAAUCAUUUUUCAUAAGAAUUUAUUUAAAUUUUUCAUUUCAUGUAAAUCUAUUUUUUUUUCAAAAGUGUUUUUUAAGUUUUUUAACCAAAAUAUAUGUAAUUCUAUAUUUUAAAAAUAUAUAAAUAAUGAAUCUUCA